RNAcentral lists this ribosomal RNA (1169 nucleotides) under Staphylococcus aureus H53188. Its description in RNAcentral is "bacterial SSU rRNA". It matches the Rfam family "Bacterial small subunit ribosomal RNA", at positions 8 to 1158 of the family's 1533-position model. The record is from RNAcentral. Lineage: Bacteria; Bacillati; Bacillota; Bacilli; Caryophanales; Staphylococcaceae.
AGAGUUUGAUCCUGGCUCAGGAUGAACGCUGGCGGUGUGCCUAAUACAUGCAAGUCGAGCGAACGGACGAGAAGCUUGCUUCUCUGAUGUUAGCGGCGGACGGGUGAGUAACACGUGGAUAACCUACCUAUAAGACUGGGAUAACUUCGGGAAACCGGAGCUAAUACCGGAUAAUAUUUUGAACCGCAUGGUUCAAAAGUGAAAGACGGUCUUGCUGUCACUUAUAGAUGGAUCCGCGCUGCAUUAGCUAGUUGGUAAGGUAACGGCUUACCAAGGCAACGAUGCAUAGCCGACCUGAGAGGGUGAUCGGCCACACUGGAACUGAGACACGGUCCAGACUCCUACGGGAGGCAGCAGUAGGGAAUCUUCCGCAAUGGGCGAAAGCCUGACGGAGCAACGCCGCGUGAGUGAUGAAGGUCUUCGGAUCGUAAAACUCUGUUAUUAGGGAAGAACAUAUGUGUAAGUAACUGUGCACAUCUUGACGGUACCUAAUCAGAAAGCCACGGCUAACUACGUGCCAGCAGCCGCGGUAAUACGUAGGUGGCAAGCGUUAUCCGGAAUUAUUGGGCGUAAAGCGCGCGUAGGCGGUUUUUUAAGUCUGAUGUGAAAGCCCACGGCUCAACCGUGGAGGGUCAUUGGAAACUGGAAAACUUGAGUGCAGAAGAGGAAAGUGGAAUUCCAUGUGUAGCGGUGAAAUGCGCAGAGAUAUGGAGGAACACCAGUGGCGAAGGCGACUUUCUGGUCUGUAACUGACGCUGAUGUGCGAAAGCGUGGGGAUCAAACAGGAUUAGAUACCCUGGUAGUCCACGCCGUAAACGAUGAGUGCUAAGUGUUAGGGGGUUUCCGCCCCUUAGUGCUGCAGCUAACGCAUUAAGCACUCCGCCUGGGGAGUACGACCGCAAGGUUGAAACUCAAAGGAAUUGACGGGGACCCGCACAAGCGGUGGAGCAUGUGGUUUAAUUCGAAGCAACGCGAAGAACCUUACCAAAUCUUGACAUCCUUUGACAACUCUAGAGAUAGAGCUUUCCCCUUCGGGGGACAAAGUGACAGGUGGUGCAUGGUUGUCGUCAGCUUGUGUCGUGAGAUGUUGGGUUAAGUCCCGCAACGAGCGCAACCCUUAAGCUUAGUUGCCAUCAUUAAGUUGGGCACUCUAAGUUGACUGCCGGUGA